This 403-nucleotide ribosomal RNA is filed under the name uncultured bacterium. Its description in RNAcentral is "partial 16S ribosomal RNA". It matches the Rfam family "Bacterial small subunit ribosomal RNA", at positions 30 to 526 of the family's 1533-position model. The record is from RNAcentral.
AUUGAACGCUGGCGGCAGGCCUAACACAUGCAAGUCGAGCGAGCGGCGGACGGGUGAGUAAUGUAUGGGGACUGCCCGAUAGAGGGGGAUAACUACUGGAAACGGUAGCUAAUACCGCAUACUAUCGGAUAACCCAUAUGGGAUUAGAUAGUAGGUGAGGUAAUGGCUCACCUAGGCGACGAUCCCUAGCUGGUCUGAGAGGGUGACCGGCCACAUUGUGACUGAGAUACGGCCCAGACUCCUACGGAGGCAGCAGUGGGGGAUAUUGCACAAUGGGCGAAAGCCUGAUGCAGCGACGCCGCGUGGGGGAUGAAGGCCUUCGGGUUGUAAAGCACUUUCAGCGAGGAGGCGUUACUCGCAGAAGAAGCACCGGCGAACUCCGUGCCAGCAGCCGCGGUAAUUC